GCCCAGACUCCUACGGGAGGCAGCAGUGGGGAAUAUUGCACAAUGGGGGGAACCCUGAUGCAGCGACGCCGCGUGGGUGAAGGAGCACCUCGGUGCGUAAAGCCCUAUCGGCAGGGAAGAAACAGACGGGACCUGACUAAGAAGCCCCGGCUAACUACGUGCCAGCAGCCGCGGGAAUACGUAGGGGGCAAGCGUUAUCCGGAUUCACUGGGUGUAAAGGGAGCGUAGACGGCGACGCAAGUCUGGAGUGAAAGCCCGGGGCCCAACCCCGGGACUGCUCUGGAAACUGCGUCGCUGGAGUACGGGAGGGGCAGGCGGAAUUCCUGGUGUAGCGGUGAAAUGCGUAGAUAUCAGGAAGAACACCAGUGGCGAAGGCGGAUUACUGGACGAUAACUGACGGUGAGGCGCGACAGCGUGGGGAGCCAACAGGAUUAGAUCCCCGCGUA
This 446-nucleotide ribosomal RNA is filed under the name uncultured bacterium. Its description in RNAcentral is "bacterial SSU rRNA". It matches the Rfam family "Bacterial small subunit ribosomal RNA", at positions 329 to 792 of the family's 1533-position model. The record is from RNAcentral.